This is a non-coding RNA of Penaeus vannamei (Pacific white shrimp), 478 nucleotides long. The record is from RefSeq and is a predicted model, not a curated record. NCBI's taxonomy places the organism in Eukaryota, Metazoa, Arthropoda, Malacostraca, Decapoda, Penaeidae.
GGUUGUAGGAACAGCUGUUAUUGUCACUAUUGGAGCUGUAUUUGUUGUUGUAGAAGCUGUGGUUGUAAGAACAGCUUUUAUGCAGCUGUUCUUGUUGUAGUUGCUGCUGCUGUUGUAUUUGGCGUUGUUGCUGUUGUUGUCGGAGCCGUAGUUUUAGGGACAACUUUUUAUUGUAGCUCUUGUCGUUGUUGUUGUUGUCGUUGUAUUUGUUGUAGUUUGCUGCUGUUGUCGAAGAUGUGGUUGUAGAAACAGACGUUAUCGAUGCUGUUGUAGUUGUUACUGCUACUGUUGUCGUCGUUGUUGUUGUUGUUUUUGUUGUUGUUUUUGUUGUUUUUGUCGUUGUCGUUGUUGUUGAUGUUGUUGUUGUUUUUGUUGUUGUUGUUCGCCUUCGUUAAGCUUCUGCGUGAAUUUUAUUGUACAAUGAACAAAGAUUUUUAUUGCAACCUUUUCUGGGGAGUUGUUAUCACUGUUAUCUGGA